Molecule: ribosomal RNA, 377 nt
Filed under: uncultured bacterium
Lineage: Bacteria
Description: bacterial SSU rRNA
Rfam family: Bacterial small subunit ribosomal RNA
Source: RNAcentral
AUACGUAGGUGGCAAGCGUUGUCCGGAUUUAUUGGGCGUAAAGCGAGCGCAGGCGGUUUCUUAAGUCUGAUGUGAAAGCCCCCGGCUCAACCGGGGAGGGUCAUUGGAAACUGGGAAACUUGAGUGCAGAAGAGGAGAGUGGAAUUCCAUGUGUAGCGGUGAAAUGCGUAGAUAUAUGGAGGAACACCAGUGGCGAAGGCGGCUCUCUGGACUGAUACUGACACUGAGGCACGAAAGCGUGGGGAGCAAACAGGAUUAGAUACCCUGGUAGUCCACGCCGUAAACGAUGAGGGCUAAGUGUUGGAGGGUUGCCGCCCUUCAGUGCUGCAGCAAACGCAUUAAGCACUCCGCCUGGGGAGUACGACCGCAAGGUUGAA